RNAcentral lists this ribosomal RNA (446 nucleotides) under uncultured bacterium. RNAcentral describes it as "partial 16S ribosomal RNA". It matches the Rfam family "Bacterial small subunit ribosomal RNA", at positions 338 to 795 of the family's 1533-position model. The record is from RNAcentral.
CCUACGGGUGGCAGCAGUCGAGAAUCAUUCACAAUGGGGGAAACCCUGAUGGUGCGACGCCGCGUGGGGGAAUGAAGGUCUUCGGAUUGUAAACCCCUGUCAUGUGGGAGCAAAUUAAAAAGAUAGUACCACAAGAGGAAGAGACGGCUAACUCUGUGCCAGCAGCCGCGGUAAUACAGAGGUCUCAAGCGUUGUUCGGAAUCACUGGGCGUAAAGCGUGCGUAGGCGGUUUCGUAAGUCGGGUGUGAAAGGCGCGGGCUCAACCCGCGAAUUGCACAUGAUACUGGGAGACUAGAGUAAGGGAGGGGGAGGCGGAAUUCUCGGUGUAGCAGUGAAAUGCGUAGAUAUCGAGAGGAACACUCGUGGCGAAGGCGGGUUCCUGGACAUUAACUGACGCUGAGGCACGAAGGCCAGGGGAGCGAAAGGGAUUAGAUACCCCAGUAGUC